CAGUAGCCGCGGUAAUACGGAGGGGGCUAGCGUUGUUCGGAAUUACUGGGCGUAAAGCGCACGUAGGCGGCUUUGUAAGUUAGAGGUGAAAGCCCAGGGCUCAACCCUGGAAUUGCCUUUAAGACUGCCGAGCUAGUAGGUGAGAGAGGUAAGUGGAAUUCCGAGUGUAGAGGUGAAAUUCGUAGAUAUUCGGAAGAACACCAGUGGCGAAGGCGGCUUACUGGCUCAUUCUAGACGCUGAGGUGCGAAAGCGUGGGGAGCAAACAGGAUUAGAUACCCGUGUAGUCCCUGUCUCUUAUAA
This 301-nucleotide ribosomal RNA is filed under the name uncultured bacterium. RNAcentral's name for it is "partial 16S ribosomal RNA". It matches the Rfam family "Bacterial small subunit ribosomal RNA", at positions 509 to 809 of the family's 1533-position model. The record is from RNAcentral.